This 415-nucleotide ribosomal RNA is filed under the name uncultured Funneliformis. RNAcentral's name for it is "partial 28S ribosomal RNA". Lineage: Eukaryota; Fungi; Glomeromycota; Glomeromycetes; Glomerales; Glomeraceae. The record is from RNAcentral.
GAGAGUUAAACAGUACGUGAAAUUGUUGAAAGGGAAACGAUUGAAGUCAGUCAUACCAACGGGAAAUCAACCUCUUGAGUUUGGUCUUGUGGGUUUCGAAGAGUUUAAAAGCCUUCGGAUUUGCGAGGAUUGGGCUCUUUUGGUGUACUUUCUCGUAAGGUUAGUCAACAUCGGUUUUGAAUGUCAUAAAAUGACUGGAGGAAUGUGGCUUCGAUCUCGUAUUGAAGUGUUAUAGCCUUUGGUAGAUGUGAUGUUCGAGACCGAGGAUUGCAACGGAUACCCUUCUGGGCUAUUCGUCUGAUCUCUGAAACGUUGCCUUGAUGUCGAAAGCUUGCUUAUGAUGUUAGGGUAUUACGGUCAAAAGGUUAGAACGGAUUAAAUUCGUUAAGGAUGUUGACGUAAUGACUUUAAACGA